AGAGUUUGAUCAGUGGCUCAGAAUGAACGUUGGCGGCGUGGAUUAGGCAUGCGAGUCGUGCGAGAACCGUAGCAAUACGGGGACAGCGGACGAAGGGAGAGGAACACGUGGAUACCUACCCUCAGGUUCAGGAUAGCUAUGGGAAACUAUAGGUAAUACUGAAUAAUAUCUCCGGAUCAAAGGUGUGAUUCCGCCGGAGGAGGGGUCCGCGUCCUAUUAGCUAGUUGGUGAGGUAAUGGCUCACCAAGGCGAAGAUGGGUACGGGAUGUGAGAACAUGAUCCCGCUCAUUGGGACUGAGACACUGCCCAGACACCUACGGGUGGCUGCAGUCGAGAAUCUUCGGCAAUGGGGGAAACCCUGACCGAGCGACGCCGCGUGUGAGAUGAAGGCCUUCGGGUUGUAAAUCACUGUCGUAGAGGAGGAAGUGUAGGUGGGUUCUCCCACUUAUUUGACCUAUUCUAGGAGGAAGGACGGGCUAAGUUCGUG
Molecule: ribosomal RNA, 487 nt
Filed under: uncultured bacterium
Lineage: Bacteria
Description: bacterial SSU rRNA
Rfam family: Bacterial small subunit ribosomal RNA
Source: RNAcentral